UCCUCCCUCUGGCGGCGUGCUUAACACAUGCAAGUCGAACGGAAAGGCCCUGCUUUUGUGGGGUGCUCGAGUGGCGAACGGGUGAGUAACACGUGAGUAACCUGCCCUUGACUUUGGGAUAACUUCGGGAAACUGGGGCUAAUACCGGAUAGGAGCUCCUGCUGCAUGGUGGGGGUUGGAAAGUUUCGGCGGUUGGGGAUGGACUCGCGGCUUAUCAGCUUGUUGGUGGGGUAGUGGCUUACCAAGGCUUUGACGGGUAGCCGGCCUGAGAGGGUGACCGGCCACAUUGGGACUGAGAGACGGCCCAGACUCCUACGGGAGGCAGCAGUGGGGAAUAUUGCACAAUGGGCGGAAGCCUGAUGCAGCAACGCCGCGUGCGGGAUGACGGCCUUCGGGUGGUAAACCGCUUUCGCCUGUGACGAAGCGUGAGUGACGGUAAUGGGUAAAGAAGCACCGGCUAACUACGU
RNAcentral lists this ribosomal RNA (467 nucleotides) under uncultured bacterium. RNAcentral describes it as "partial 16S ribosomal RNA". It matches the Rfam family "Bacterial small subunit ribosomal RNA", at positions 36 to 506 of the family's 1533-position model. The record is from RNAcentral.